RNAcentral lists this unclassified non-coding RNA (314 nucleotides) under plant metagenome. Its description in RNAcentral is "partial contains 5.8S ribosomal RNA, internal transcribed spacer 2, and large subunit ribosomal RNA". The stretch from base 1 to 105 matches the Rfam family "5.8S ribosomal RNA", at positions 50 to 154 of the family's 154-position model. The record is from RNAcentral.
GAAAUGCGAUAAUUAAUGUGAAUUGCAGAAUUCAGUAAAUCAUCGAGUCUUUGAACGCACAUUGCGCCCCCUGGUAUUCCGGGGGGCAUGCCUGUCCGAGCGUCAUUGCUGCCCUCAAGCACGGCUUGUGUGUUGGGCUUCCGUCCCUGGCAACGGGGACGGGCCCAAAAGGCAGUGGCGGCACCAUGUCUGGUCCUCGAGCGUAUGGGGCUUUGUCACCCGCUCCCGUAGGUCCAGCUGGCAGCUAGCCUCGCAACCAAUCUUUUUAACCAGGUUGACCUCGGAUCAGGUAGGGAUACCCGCUGAACUUAAGC